AGAAUAUCCCACUGUAAGCAUGAGCAAAGAAGCUGAAGAAUUAGAUACAUUCUUUGAGGAUUCAGGGGGAAAGAAUUAUAUAUUUUACUGUAUAUGUAAUAAUUUUGAAGAAUGUUUUAUCUUUAUUCUUUUUUCAUGUUUUUAUGCUUCUUACUAAUAAUUUUGGUCAAGCUUCUUAUGUAUAUAUUAAUUUAAAGUAUUAAUUAUAUUUCUGCAAUCAUAAUUGAAUCAUAAUUAACCAAUUGUAAUUAUAUUAUAAUUAUAAAAAUUGUGGUUGCUCAAUUCAUACACUUACAGAUAAUUGCAGAGAGAGAUCAUGGGUUCAAUGCCAGACUUUCUCUUAUAAAACGAACAAUAUAUAUUAUGAUUCCUGGAUAGACCAAGUCUUGAUUCCUAAGCUUGACAGAUAGUGGCAUAGAACAUGCAGUCAAUGCUAAUAUGUGUAGUCGGAUUAUUUCAAAGAAUUUUGAUAUCUCAAAAUUGAUGCAAAUCUUAAGUAAUAUUGGAAUCAUUUUUAAAAUUUUGAAUUUAAAUACAUUUAAAAAUCAAUAAGAGGUUUUUAUUAUAACAUGGACUAAUUAAAUAAGGACUCAUAUUGUUAUCCUUUUUCUUCUUUCCUAUUUAAUUUAGACUAGGUUUGAUUAGCUUGCUAAAUUGUUAUUUUUAUGUAUUUAAUGAUAAAGAAAACAAAAAAUUUAUUAAAUAAAGCUAAGAUUCUAUAUUAAAAGUGUGAGAAGUCUCUAUUGUUUGCAAAUUAAAAAAGAAAAAGGAGAUUCAUA
RNAcentral lists this unclassified non-coding RNA (779 nucleotides) under Hevea brasiliensis (rubber tree). Lineage: Eukaryota; Viridiplantae; Streptophyta; Magnoliopsida; Malpighiales; Euphorbiaceae. The record is from RNAcentral.